GACAGAGGGUGCAAACGUUUGUUCGGAAUUACUGGGCGUAAAGCGAGUGUAGGCGGUCUCGUAAGUCGGGUGUGAAAGCCCUGGGCUCAACCCAGGAAGUGCACUCGAAACUGCGAGGCUAGAGUACUGGAGAGGUUGGUGGAAUUCUCGGUGUAGAGGUGAAAUUCGUAGAUAUCGGGAGGAACACCAGUGGCGAAGGCGGCUACCUGGACCAGCACUGACACUGAGGCACGAAAGCGAUGGGGAGCAAACAGGG
This 256-nucleotide ribosomal RNA is filed under the name uncultured bacterium. Its description in RNAcentral is "partial 16S ribosomal RNA". It matches the Rfam family "Bacterial small subunit ribosomal RNA", at positions 524 to 777 of the family's 1533-position model. The record is from RNAcentral.